CCUACGGGAGGCAGCAGUGGGGAAUAUUGCACAAUGGGGGAAACCCUGAUGCAGCAACGCCGCGUGAGUGAAGAAGUAUUUCGGUAUGUAAAGCUCUAUCAGCAGGGAAGAAAAUGACAGUACCUGACUAAGAAGCCCCGGCUAACUACGUGCCAGCAGCCGCGGUAAUACGUAGGGGGCAAGCGUUAUCCGGAUUUACUGGGUGUAAAGGGAGCGUAGACGGCUGCGCAAGUCAGAAGUGAAAGCCCGGGGCUCAACCGCGGGACUGCUUUUGAAACUGUGUAGCUAGGGUGCAGGAGAGGUAAGUGGAAUUCCUGGUGUAGCGGUGAAAUGCGUAGAUAUUAGGAGGAACACCGGUGGCGAAGGCGGCUUACUGGACUGUAACGGACGUUGAGGCUCGAAAGCGUGGGGAGCAAACAGGAUUAGAUACCCGUGUGUC
This 439-nucleotide ribosomal RNA is filed under the name uncultured bacterium. RNAcentral's name for it is "partial 16S ribosomal RNA". It matches the Rfam family "Bacterial small subunit ribosomal RNA", at positions 338 to 795 of the family's 1533-position model. The record is from RNAcentral.